AUACGUAGGGGACGAGCGUUGUCCGGAAUUACUGGGCGUAAAGGGCGCGCAGGCGGAUAUUUAAGUCAGCUGUAAAAGGCAUGAGCUCAACUCAUGUAUGCGGUUGAAACUGGGUAUCUAGAGUGCUGGAGAGGUAGGCGGUAUUCCCGGUGUAGCGGUGAAAUGCGUAGAUAUCGGGAAGAACACCAGUGGCGAAGGCGGCUUACUGGCCAGCAACUGACGCUGAGGCGCGAAAGCCAGGGGAGCGAACGGGAUUAGAUACCCCGGUAGUCCUGGCCGUAAACGAUGAAUGCUAGGUGUGGGUGUCGAGAGGCAUCCGUGCCGGAGUUAACGCGAUAAGCAUUCCGCCUGGGGAGUACGAUCGCAAGAUUGAAACUCAAAGGAAUUGGCGGGG
This 394-nucleotide ribosomal RNA is filed under the name uncultured bacterium. RNAcentral's name for it is "partial 16S ribosomal RNA". It matches the Rfam family "Bacterial small subunit ribosomal RNA", at positions 523 to 918 of the family's 1533-position model. The record is from RNAcentral.